CACCCGGAGUAAACCCACGCGGUCACCGGGAGAACGUCCAAACUCCGUGCAGACGGCACCCAUAAUCAUGACCUCUGGCACUGUAAGGCAGCUGCUCUACCGUUCGGUGAAAACACAGGAGUGAACCUACAUUUCAACCGGGCCAAAGGUGUUUGUUUGCUCAAGGAUCCUAGCGUUUGCAGAGAUAUCGGAGGGGCAACAUGAAAUAAACGAAUUGUUGCCAGAUCUCACCUCAAGUCAAGUCCCUGAACUGGUAUGCCGAUGAUUUAAGUUGCUGUGGUGUUUACAUAGCUCACUAUAUAAAACAAGCACCGGUUACUAUAUUUUUAUUUCCCCCUCGCCCUGUCUGCCAGGGAAGGCGUAAAGUCACUGCUUGCCAGGGAGGGAGCUCUCUUGCAUCCCCUUGUGGCCAGGACGCGAAUUAAAUAGGCGAAACUGAAUUUCCCUUCACCUCCCCUCGUGAGCGAUUCAUAAAACGACAGAAUGCCAACUGGUCUUACAUUAGAAAAGACGUUAGAGCUGUGCUUAUGCAUCUAUUAAGGAUAGUAAAAUAAAGGAAACAAUUGAGAAGUAAUGGACUGCAAUUCAAUACAGAACAAUUUUCACCAGAGGGUGAAUUCUAGCACUCAAAGCAUCAUCAAUUAGCCUGAGAACACGUUCCUUCACAGAGUGUGACGCAAAAUGCACCACAUCACAUACAAGGGUGGAAAUAGCAUAAAAACAGGAGAGGUGGGAGUAGGAACUGGCCGGAAAGCCACUUGGUACCUGCUUCAUCAUCCAACAAGAUUGUGGGUGGUCUAGUCUUGACCCAGAAAACCAAUUUUUCCCAUGCCCCUCUACUUCAGUGUAAUUCAAAUCCGAGUGGAACCCUGUCUUGGAUAUUCAAUGACUGCUUCCACAUCUCGCUAGGAUAGAGAAUUCUAAAAUGUCACUGACCCUCUGAGAAAGUAAAUAGAUGACCCCCUUAUUGUGAAACAGCGCUUCCAAGCUCUAGACACCUCCUCCUUCCCAUUGAGUAAUCAUCCUCUUGGCAUCGUACUGUGAAUCCCACUCACAAUCUUACUUGUAUCAAUAAUACCAUCCCAUAAUUUUGAAACACCAAUAAGUCCAAUCAGUGCACCUUUCUUCAUACAUCAAUCCAUUCAUUCCUUGUGAACCUUCUCUGCAUUGCUUCCAAUGCAUGCACACACUUCCUUAAAUGUGGAGCCCAAAGCUGAACACUGCUCCAGGUGUGUUGUCAAGAGUGUCCUUUAAAUUGGCAUCAACAUUUUGAUGUUUGCUCUCCAUGUCCUCAACAACAAGGCAAGCAGUUGCUUGAUCUUUCUAAUAACUUGCUAUUUCUACACACUGACCUUUUAUGUUUCAUGUACUUGUAACCUGUAGAUCCUUUUCCUCUGCAACAUUUAAAUAAAUACUUUCCCAUACUGUACUCUAUCUACCAACUCGUUGCCACUCAUAUAACCUACCCAUAUCCCUUUACAGGUUUGUUAUAUCUUUAUCACAACUUCCUAAUCCUUCCAAUUUUGGAUCAUCAGCAGAUUUGGCAACUGCAUACUUUAUCCAGGUUUUCAACAUGUUUUGUAAAUUGUUAAGGGCCUUAGCAGAUCCUUGUGGUAAGUCGUUACUGGCUCAUUGUUUUCUGCUAGUUAGUUGCUAGUCUAUCUACAGUAUGCCAAUAUAUUACCCCACCCUGUGUAUUGUUAACUCAAAGAAUGAAAUCAUAAAAUAGUUGGGGCAAUUAUCGGGAGAAAAUGACUUCCAGCACCAUCACAAAAGUAAUAAAAAAAGAUUCUGUAUAAUCAACAGAUUAAGUGCAGCAAUAUUUUUAAUAGGGAAUAGUUUCCUGGAAAUUCAGCAAAUGCAGAUGAGUCAAUUCACAUUGAAAUGCACCAAUGUAUUCAUUGAAUGCUUGAACAUGGCGUCUUUGUGAUGGAAAUAAUAUUCAAUUCUUCUCUGCCAUAGGUUAAAUGUAGCUACUCCUGAACACACAAAAUGUGUAAUGUUCACACUUGUUUAGUAAUUGAGUGGCUGUGCACUUAUCUCGCUUCUUUUUUUAACUUUGUAUAACAGAAAUAAAAUAAAGGAUCAAACUAAUCUACACCACAGAUGUAAAAUAUUUCCAGAGCUAUCUUUGGAGGAAAUUCUGUAAAUUCUUAUGAACUUUACCCAUUGGAACAACAAUUGGAACAUCAUCCUAUAUAAUAUAGCAUUGUCAAUUUACAUCUUUUCAUUAGGUCACUUGCUGGUGCUGUUUAAUAAAUGCACAUUGUAAAAAAAUUGACCUAAACUGUAGCACUUUUGACAUUCUGGGGAGCAUGUUGUAGACUUGUAUAACAUCCACCAAAAUUACUUUACCAGCACUGAUACUUAAUAAACAUACGAUUUGUUAUAUUCAAGUGAAA
Amblyraja radiata (thorny skate) is the source of this 2402-nucleotide long non-coding RNA. RefSeq lists it as uncharacterized. The record is from RefSeq and is a predicted model, not a curated record. NCBI's taxonomy places the organism in Eukaryota, Metazoa, Chordata, Chondrichthyes, Rajiformes, Rajidae. The transcript is spliced from 2 exons.